Molecule: ribosomal RNA, 253 nt
Filed under: uncultured bacterium
Lineage: Bacteria
Description: partial 16S ribosomal RNA
Rfam family: Bacterial small subunit ribosomal RNA
Source: RNAcentral
GACGAACCACACAAACGUUAUUCGGAAUUACUGGGCUUAAAGGGUGCGUAGGCGGCGCAGAAAGUAGGGUGUGAAAUCCCUCGGCUCAACCGAGGAACUGCGCCCUAAACUACUGUGCUCGAGGGAGGUAGAGGUGAGCGGAACUUAGGGUGGAGCGGUGAAAUGCGUUGAUAUCCUAAGGAACACCGGUGGCGAAAGCGGCUCACUGGACCUCUUCUGACGCUGAGGCGCGAAAGCUAGGGGAGCAAACGGG